RNAcentral lists this ribosomal RNA (403 nucleotides) under Fusobacteriota bacterium. RNAcentral describes it as "Fusobacteria bacterium partial 16S ribosomal RNA". It matches the Rfam family "Bacterial small subunit ribosomal RNA", at positions 355 to 776 of the family's 1533-position model. Lineage: Bacteria; Fusobacteriati; Fusobacteriota. The record is from RNAcentral.
UGGGGAAUAUUGCACAAUGGAGGGAACUCUGAUGCAGCGACGCCGCGUGAACGAAGAAGGCUUUUGAGUCGUAAAGUUCUUUUAUAUGGGAAGAUAAUGACGGUACCAUAAGAAAAAGCCCCGGCUAACUACGUGCCAGCAGCCGCGGUAAUACGUAGGGGGCUAGCGUUGUCCGGAAUCACUGGGCGUAAAGGGUUCGCAGGCGGAAAUGCAAGUCAGAUGUAAAAGGCAGUAGCUUAACUACUGUAAGCAUUUGAAACUGCAUAUCUUGAGAAGAGUAGAGGUAAGUGGAAUUUUUAGUGUAGCGGUGAAAUGCGUAGAUAUUAAAAAGAAUACCGGUGGCGAAGGCGACUUACUGGGCUCAUUCUGACGCUGAGGAACGAAAGCGUGGGUAGCAAACAGG